GUGGGGAAUCUUCCGCAAUGGACGAAAGUCUGACGGAGCAACGCCGCGUGAGUGAAGAAGGUUUUCGGAUCGUAAAGCUCUUUCGUUAGGGACGAACGUGCUCUUUGUGAAUAAUGAGGAGUAAUGACGGUACCUAAAUAAGAAGCCACGGCUAACUACGUGCCAGCAGCCGCGGUAAUACGUAGGUGGCAAGCGUUGUCCGGAAUUAUUUGGCGUAAAGCGCGCGCAGGCGGGAUAUCAAGUCUGUCUUAAAAGUGCGAGGCUCAACCUCGUGAGGGGACAGAAACUGGUAUUCUUGAGUGUCGGAGAGGAAAGUGGAAUUCCAAGUGUAGCGGUGAAAUGCGUAGAGAUUUGGAAGAACACCAGUGGCGAAGGCGACUUUCUGGACGAUGUCUGACGCUGAGGCGCGAAAGCUAGGGGAGCGAACGGGAUUAGAUACCCCGGUAGUCC
RNAcentral lists this ribosomal RNA (450 nucleotides) under uncultured bacterium. RNAcentral describes it as "partial 16S ribosomal RNA". It matches the Rfam family "Bacterial small subunit ribosomal RNA", at positions 354 to 796 of the family's 1533-position model. The record is from RNAcentral.